UACGUAGGGGGCUAGCGUUGUCCGGAAUCAUUGGGCGUAAAGCGCGUGUAGGCGGUUCGGUAAGUCCGCUGUGAAAGUCGAGGGCUCAACCCUCGAAAGCCGGUGGAUACUGUCGGGCUAGAGUGCGGAAGAGGCGAGUGGAAUUCCUGGUGUAGCGGUGAAAUGCGCAGAUAUCAGGAGGAACACCGGUGGCGAAGGCGGCAUCCUGGACCGGCAUUGACGCUGAGGCGCGAAAGCCAGGGGAGCAAACGGG
Molecule: ribosomal RNA, 253 nt
Filed under: uncultured bacterium
Lineage: Bacteria
Description: partial 16S ribosomal RNA
Rfam family: Bacterial small subunit ribosomal RNA
Source: RNAcentral